CUCGUAGAUGCUUGUCCCAGUUAAGGAGGCACAACCCAUAGGUACUGCCACCAUAUGCUGGAAAAAUAAGCAGAAAGUUUCAGGUGGUAUGUAUACAAUAAGUUUUUGACAAACUUUUUGUUUUUGCCUUUUUGCAACCUGUUUUCAGAUGGGAUAGCACCAUAAUCAAAACAUUAAGCUAUAGUGGAUUUUGGAGCUCAAGAGUAUUUUCCUUUUUAACCUUCUUUCAUAGAACUGGCAACUUCAAGACAGUUACACAAACCCCUUGAAGCCAAAACAUAUACUUGAAG
Molecule: non-coding RNA, 290 nt
Organism: Pelobates cultripes (western spadefoot toad)
Lineage: Eukaryota; Metazoa; Chordata; Amphibia; Anura; Pelobatidae
Source: the annotation of a GenBank genome assembly